GAGUGGCAGACGGUUGUGUCACUCGUGGGAACGUACCCAUUGGUACGGAACAACCUAAGGAAACUUGGGCUAAUACUUUAUACGACCCUAUGGGGAAAGAUUUAUCGUAUAUUGGACUGGCCCGCGUUGGAUUAGGUAGUUGGUGGGGUAAUGGCAUAUUAAGGCAACUAUCUAUAGCUGGUGUGAGAGGAUGAUCAGCCACACUGGGACUGAUACAUGGCCCAGACUCCUACCGGAGGCAGCAAUGGG
RNAcentral lists this ribosomal RNA (249 nucleotides) under uncultured Alphaproteobacteria bacterium. RNAcentral describes it as "partial 16S ribosomal RNA". It matches the Rfam family "Bacterial small subunit ribosomal RNA", at positions 93 to 358 of the family's 1533-position model. The record is from RNAcentral. Lineage: Bacteria; Pseudomonadati; Pseudomonadota; Alphaproteobacteria.